UCUGUACUUAUAAGAUGGCAGGUAUUAAAUAAUAUUUUAAAGGGAAAAAACGAAAAGAAGAGGGUUGGUGCAGCAUAUGCGUGGUUAGAUAUAGAAUUUUUCAAGAGGGUGGAAAGUAUCAAUAGGAAAACUCGAAUCAUAAUAAUUAAUUCAAGAAAUAAAUAUAUUAUAGAUGUAUUUGAUAUACCCAAUAUUAUAUCAUUCUAAAAAAUGAUUAGAAAGCAAAUUAUACAUAUAUGCAUCUGGCCUCUGUUAUGCAUGACUGAUGCUUGAAAGUACUAUAUACUUUAUCUAUUAAUUACAUUACAUAUUACAUUAUAUAUUCUUUAUAUAAAAAAAAAAAAAUAAAAUAAAAAAUACAUAUUCUUUCACAUUUUUUACAAAUUCAAAAUAUAAUAUAUUCACAAUGUACAAUAUUAUAAAUAUAAAUAUAAUAAUAUAAAAUAUAAAUAUAUCUAUAAAAAUAUUCACAAAUUAAAAAAUUUUUGUAAUAUUUGAAAAUUUCUUGUAAUAUCAUAGAAAUUAUAUAAAAAAUAAAAAUAAUCUUGUAUAAUUGUAAUAAUAAUUGUAAUAAUCUCUAAAAUUAUAUAUUUUGCAGCUAUGAUUUUUUUUAUACCUUAAAAAAUAUAUUGAAUUGAAUACAUAGAAUUAAUAAAUUUAUUUUAAUUAAAUGCUAUGCAGAUGUAUAUUUUAAAUAUAUAUCUUCUAAAUAGAAUGUACAAAAGAUUAUUAAAGAUCAAUGUAAAAAGGAAAAUAAAGUAAAAAAUCUGUAAUGAUUUCCUAUAACAAUAAUAAUAAUAAUUAUAUAUAAAGUAUAACAUUUUUGAAGAUAUUAAAUGUGUUAAAUUAUAACAAA
Apis cerana (Asiatic honeybee) is the source of this 856-nucleotide long non-coding RNA. RefSeq lists it as uncharacterized. The record is from RefSeq and is a predicted model, not a curated record. Lineage: Eukaryota; Metazoa; Arthropoda; Insecta; Hymenoptera; Apidae.